GAUGAACGCUGGCGGCGUGCCUAAUACAUGCAAGUCGAGCGAACAGACGAGGAGCUUGCUUCUCUGACGUUAGCGGCGGACGGGUGAGUAACACGUGGAUAACCUACCUAUAAGACUGGGAUAACUUCGGGAAACCGGAGCUAAUACCGGAUGAUAUUUUGAACCGCAUGGUUCAAAAGUGAAAGACGGUCUUGCUGUCACUUAUAGAUGGAUCCGCGCCGCAUUAGCUAGUUGGUAAGGUAACGGCUUACCAAGGCAACGAUGCAUAGCCGACCUGAGAGGGUGAUCGGCCACACUGGAACUGAGACACGGUCCAGACUCCUACGGGAGGCAGCAGUAGGGAAUCUUCCGCAAUGGGCGAAAGCCUGACGGAGCAACGCCGCGUGAGUGAUGAAGGUCUUCGGAUCGUAAAACUCUGUUAUUAGGGAAGAACAUAUGUGUAAGUAACUGUGCACAUCUUGACGGUACCUAAUCAGAAAGCCACGGCUAACUACGUG
This 497-nucleotide ribosomal RNA is filed under the name uncultured bacterium. RNAcentral's name for it is "partial 16S ribosomal RNA". It matches the Rfam family "Bacterial small subunit ribosomal RNA", at positions 28 to 507 of the family's 1533-position model. The record is from RNAcentral.